CUGAUUUCUUGGUUGGGCCCAGACAAGAAGCCUGCCAAUCUCUGGUAACAGUGCUCCCAGGGCGAGGCUCGUCCAUUUCACUGCGGCAGUGCUAACCCCUGCGACUUCCCCAUAUGGGGAAACUCAACUGUAGAAUGUGUGGUAGUGGGGACUGUGUGCUCGCUCUCCCCU
Oryctolagus cuniculus (rabbit) is the source of this 171-nucleotide small nuclear RNA. Its record names the gene U1. It matches the Rfam family "U1 spliceosomal RNA". Rfam says of the family: U1 is a small nuclear RNA (snRNA) component of the spliceosome (involved in pre-mRNA splicing). Its 5' end forms complementary base pairs with the 5' splice junction, thus defining the 5' donor site of an intron. There are significant differences in sequence and secondary structure between metazoan and yeast U1 snRNAs, the latter being much longer (568 nucleotides as compared to 164 nucleotides in human). Lineage: Eukaryota; Metazoa; Chordata; Mammalia; Lagomorpha; Leporidae. The record is from Ensembl.